AGAUAAGAAGUAAUAAUUUACAACUAGUUUCGACCUAGAAAUUUGACUACUAAGUCCUUAUCUA
This 64-nucleotide transfer RNA is filed under the name Cryptocephalus lividimanus. Its description in RNAcentral is "tRNA-Arg". The record is from RNAcentral. Lineage: Eukaryota; Metazoa; Arthropoda; Insecta; Coleoptera; Chrysomelidae.